Cebus imitator (Panamanian white-faced capuchin) is the source of this 1092-nucleotide long non-coding RNA. RefSeq lists it as uncharacterized. The record is from RefSeq and is a predicted model, not a curated record. The transcript is spliced from 3 exons. NCBI's taxonomy places the organism in Eukaryota, Metazoa, Chordata, Mammalia, Primates, Cebidae.
CUUUGGUAGAAGUGGCACCUUGCUGCAAAGAAGAAAGAGGAGGUGGCUGGCUGCUCGCAGGUGUCUGGUGAUGGCUGAGUAAGAGAUGCUCGGUGGAGACAGGGAACUUGCGGAGGCUCCAAGGACCUUCUCUACAGUUACCUCAGCAGUGUGUAUUCUGGUGGAAAGAAAGCAAAGACCUUGCAGAAUUCAACUGAAGUCUCCCUGAAACUCAAGGACUUGGCUUUGGAAGGAAAAACAACCAACUGGUACUUCUCUGGAUAGAAAGAUCUGGUUCUGAUGUCUAAAUGGAAGAUUUAAACAAUAAUAACAACAACAAAACAAAAGAACUCACUUUUUACUUUCAAGCACACCCUGUUCCUUCACAAGAAAAAAAGCCCACAGUGCAACAUUGAUCCAGAAAGUCUCUAUUCAGCACUCUUUGUUUGGUUUUGGCUCAGUGUUCGGCUAGCGGAUUCCCAGAGCACACAGCAGCAGGGGAGGUGGGGUUCACAGCAGAGAACAGUAAAAAAUCUACUCUAGAUUUCCUGAGGUUCCAGGAUGCAAUGGAAAACCGCAGUGUUUCUGGGUGAGUGGCAUGGAGCACAGCAGUGACUUUAUACUCUAUUUCACCCCCUUAAACUGGAGCUUGCCCGCAUCAGGGCUGGCGAGGCACUCCCACCCAUUCCUGCCUAUACACAUCCCCGCUCUGAAAGGGCUUCCUUGGGGGAAACUGGGCAUCUACCUUCACCAUCCCUUGAACAGGCUCUUGUAGGUGGCUUUUGCAUGCGUAAUUCCUACCUAAGGAGACACCUAAGCCACCCUUCUGGCUGCUUGGGGCAAAAACUUUGGAAUCAUCCUGGACUCCCCUUUUUCACGUCCCACUUCUAAUACACUAGCUUAGCCGGUCAGCUCCACAUUCAAACUGAUUCAGGAUGUAUCAGUCAGGGUUCAAUCAGAGAAACCAAACCAGUAGGAGAGUCCUAUUAAGAGAUCUACUGCAAGGAAUUGCCCUACAUAUGUUACCGGUUGGGAGUGUCCAGGUUCUUGGCAUCUUGAACAAAGAAUUGGACAAAACGCACAAACAAACCAAAGAAAGAAUGAAGCAACAAG